RNAcentral lists this long non-coding RNA (220 nucleotides) under Mytilus galloprovincialis (Mediterranean mussel). The record is from RNAcentral. Lineage: Eukaryota; Metazoa; Mollusca; Bivalvia; Mytilida; Mytilidae.
CCCCUAUGUUCUAUUUUUAGCCAUGGUGGCCAUCUUGGUUGGUUGGCCGAAUCACCGGACACAAUUUUUAAACUAGUUACCCCAAUGAUGAUUGUUGCCAAGUUUGGUUCAAUUUGGCCCAGAAGUUUCAGAGGAGAAGAUUUUUGUAAAAGAUAACUAAGAUUUACGAAAAAUGGUUAAAAAUUGACUAUAAAGGGCCAUAACUCCUAAAGGGGUCAAU